GCGGGGGUAGCCGAGCAGGACAAAGGCGCAGGACUUAAGAUCCUGUUUCGUAGGAAUACGAGGGUUCAAAUCCCUCCCCCCGCA
RNAcentral lists this transfer RNA (84 nucleotides) under Candidatus Methanophagaceae archaeon ex4572_4. RNAcentral's name for it is "ANME-1 cluster archaeon ex4572_4 tRNA-Leu". It matches the Rfam family "tRNA". Rfam says of the family: Transfer RNA (tRNA) molecules are approximately 80 nucleotides in length. Their secondary structure includes four short double-helical elements and three loops (D, anti-codon, and T loops). Further hydrogen bonds mediate the characteristic L-shaped molecular structure. tRNAs have two regions of fundamental functional importance: the anti-codon, which is responsible for specific mRNA codon recognition, and the 3' end, to which the tRNAs corresponding amino acid is attached (by aminoacyl-tRNA synthetases). tRNAs cope with the degeneracy of the genetic code in two manners: having more than one tRNA (with a specific anti-codon) for a particular amino acid; and 'wobble' base-pairing, i.e. permitting non-standard base-pairing at the 3rd anti-codon position. Lineage: Archaea; Methanobacteriati; Methanobacteriota; Methanomicrobia; Candidatus Methanophagales; Candidatus Methanophagaceae. RNAcentral also lists the same sequence under 2 other names. The record is from RNAcentral.